UACAGAGGGGGCAAGCGUUGUUCGGAAUUACUGGGCGUAAAGGGCGCGUAGGCGGCCCGCUAAGUCGAACGUGAAAUCCCUGGGCUCAACCCAGGAACUGCGUCCGAUACUGGCAGGCUUGAAUCCGGGAGAGGGAUGCGGAAUUCCAGGUGUAGCGGUGAAAUGCGUAGAUAUCUGGAGGAACACCGGUGGCGAAGGCGGCAUCCUGGACCGGUAUUGACGCUGAGGCGCGAAGGCGUGGGGAGCGAACGGG
RNAcentral lists this ribosomal RNA (253 nucleotides) under uncultured bacterium. RNAcentral's name for it is "partial 16S ribosomal RNA". It matches the Rfam family "Bacterial small subunit ribosomal RNA", at positions 524 to 776 of the family's 1533-position model. The record is from RNAcentral.